Molecule: microRNA precursor, 196 nt
Filed under: Erythranthe guttata (spotted monkey flower)
Lineage: Eukaryota; Viridiplantae; Streptophyta; Magnoliopsida; Lamiales; Phrymaceae
Description: Mimulus guttatus (spotted monkey flower) mir-166 microRNA precursor family
Rfam family: mir-166 microRNA precursor family
About the family: This family represents the plant microRNA (miRNA) precursor mir-166. Animal miRNAs are transcribed as ~70nt precursors and subsequently processed by the Dicer enzyme to give a ~22nt product. In plants the precursor sequences may be longer, and the carpel factory (caf) enzyme appears to be involved in processing.
Source: Rfam by way of RNAcentral
UUUGAGGGGAAUGUUGUCCGGCUCGAGGACCGACUGUUGAUAUAUUAAUAUUGAUCUUAUAUAUGUUUUUUUCUUUUUCUUUUUUUUGGUGUGGUUGAAGAAAUUAAGAAAUGUAUAGAUCUAAUUAAUAUUAUUGAUGAUGAUGAUAAUACUCGUCGUCGUCGUCGUCGUCGGACCAGGCUUCAUUCCCCCCAAU